CCCGCGGUAGCCUAGCCUGGGAGCGGCGGCGGACUGUAGAUCCGCAGGUCCCCGGUUCAAAUCCGGGCCGCGGGACCA
Molecule: transfer RNA, 78 nt
Filed under: Thermococcus celer
Lineage: Archaea; Methanobacteriati; Methanobacteriota; Thermococci; Thermococcales; Thermococcaceae
Also listed under: 37 other names
Description: tRNA-Tyr
Rfam family: tRNA
About the family: Transfer RNA (tRNA) molecules are approximately 80 nucleotides in length. Their secondary structure includes four short double-helical elements and three loops (D, anti-codon, and T loops).
Source: RNAcentral